Molecule: ribosomal RNA, 3241 nt
Filed under: Caldivirga maquilingensis IC-167
Lineage: Archaea; Thermoproteati; Thermoproteota; Thermoprotei; Thermoproteales; Thermoproteaceae
Description: Archaeal large subunit ribosomal RNA
Rfam family: Archaeal large subunit ribosomal RNA
Source: Rfam by way of RNAcentral
CUACCCGUGCCGCGAAGCCGUCCGGUGGAUGGCUCGGCUCGGGCGCCGAGGAAGGGCGUGGCAAGCGGCGAUAUGCCCGGGGUAGCCGCAGGCAGGCGUUGAUCCCGGGAUCCCCGAAUGGGGCUUCCUACCUGGGCCGAAUAGGCUCAGGUGCCCCGUAGGGGGUGGGAACGCGGGGAACGGAAACAUCUUAGUACCCGCAGGAGGGGAAACCAAAAGGGACCCCCUGAGUAGGGGCGACCGAAAGGGGGUUAGCCCAAACCGAACCCCCAUGGGGUAACCGUGGGGGGAUGUGGUGUUUGGGCUUGGGUACCGCCGAGGCAGCCUAGCCGAAGUGGGCUGGAAAGCCCCGCCGUAGAGGGUGAUAGCCCCGUAGGCUAAAGGUUGCUGGCGGAUUCCCAAUGUCCCGGAGUACCACGGCUUGGUUUUGCCGUGGGAAUACGGGGGCCUCCAGCCCCUAAGGCUAAGUACGUCCCGAGUCCGAUAGCGAACAAGUACCGUGAGGGAAAGCAUGGGACUCAGGAAACAUGGAGUAGUGUUGAUUGCCCGCGGAUUCUCUGCUCAUUGCUUAAUUACCUCGUGAGAAAACCCACCGGUGGGGUUAUGGGUUAAUUAAAGGGGGUAGUUGUAUUAGUUAAGCCGCGGGCAUUAUAAUGAUGCGUAGUGGUAUCACCGUAUACCCUGGGUCCCGUGCCCCUAGAGCUGAAAAGAACCCCGCGAGGGGUGUGAAAAGAGCCUGAAACCGGACGGUUAAAGGUGCGGCGGCCCUCAAGGAUAACCCCACCUGAAGGAAACCGGGGUGACCCGGGAGUACGAGGGUGGGGUACGGGGUCGCCGCUUACGUCCAGAAACACGAGCCAGGGAGUUCCCAUCUGUGGCGAGUCUAAGGGGGUUAACCCCGGAGGCGUAGGGAAACCGAAGGCCCGCAGUCGGGUUAACCGACGAGGGGCUGGGUCCGUUAAGGGCCCGUAGCCACAGGUGGGAGACCAGAAACCGAGCGAUCUAGCCCGGGGUAGGGUGAAGCGGGGCGAAAGCCCCGUGGAGGCCCGAUUGGGGUUCUGACGUGCAAAUCGUUCCCGUGACCCUGGGCUAGGGGCAAAAGACCAAUCAAGCUCGGUGAUAGCUGGUUCCCCCCGAAGCAGCUCUUAGGCUGGCCUCCCUGGAGGGUGCUCAUGGGGUAGAGCACUGAUCCGGGAUGCAGGGGCCGAAAGGCUCCGGUCCCGGGUCAAACUCCGAACCCAUGAGCCCCAUUGAAGGGGGGAGACGGGUUCCCCGGGGGUAAGCUUGGGGGCCGAGAGGGAAACAACCCAGACCGGGGUUAAGGCCCCAAAGUGCGGGCUAAGUGUCAAUCUAGAAGGGUGUCUCCCACCGAAGACGGCGGGACCGUAGGCCCAGCAGCAGCCAUCGGCUAAGCAACGCGUAACAGCGGACCCGCUGAGGUGGGAGGCCCCGAAGACGCACAGGGACUCAAGCCCGCCGCCGAGACCCCGGCCCACGGAUCAUUGAUCCGCGUGGGGUAGGGGGGCGUCGCCGUGGGGCGGAAGCCGGGCCGUGAGGUCCGGUGGACCCGCGGUGAAUGAGGAUCCUGGCGGUAGUAGCAGCGAAGAGGGGUGGGAUACCCCUCCGCCGGAAAGGCCCAGGGUUCCAUGGUAAUGUUCAUCAGCCAUGGGUUAGCCGGUCCUAAGGUGGGGCCUAAUUGGCACCCACCGAAAGGGAAACGGGUUAAUAAUCCCGUGCCGUGGGGGUAGGUUUGCGGCAACGCAGGCCCCAUUCCCGACGUCUCAGGAUAGGGUGAGUGGGGCUGCCGCCCCAUUUAACCGUCGAAGACCGGGGAGUGCCGUCAUGGCGAGAACCGGUUGAAGACGGUAAUAGCCGGGCCUUGAGCCCGGUUCACCCGACUCCUGGGGCCCAUGAAAAGGGAAUGGGGAACGAGCCCCCACGACCGUACCGAGAACCGACACAGGUCGCCUGGGUGAGAAGCCCAAGGCGGGUCGGGUCACGCCAGGCUAGGGAACUCGGCAAAUUAGCCCUGUAACUUCGGGAUAAAGGGUGCCCGCGGUCUGGGUAAAACCCGGGACCGUGGGUCGCAGUGGCAAGGGGGACCUGACUGUUUAACAAAAACAUAGGUCCCCGCGAGCCCGUAAGGGUUUGUACGGGGGCUGAAUCCUGGCCACUGGCGGUACGUGAAACCCGGGUUCAACCGGGCUAAGCGCCGCUGAAGGCCGGGGGUAACUCUGACCCUCUUAAGGUAGCCAAAUGCCUUGCCGGGUAAGUUCCGGCGUGCAUGAAUGGAUCAACGAGGUCCCCACUGUCCCAGCCUGGUGCCCGGCGAACCCACCUCCAGGUGCAGAGUCCUGGGACCCCCGACGGGGCGAGAAGACCCUGUGGACCUUUACUGCAGCCCGUCGUUGGGGUGGGGGAGGGGGUGCAUAGUGUAGGUGGGAGCGAUGAACCAUGGUCUCCGGGCCGUGGGGAUGCGUCAAUGAAACACCACCCAUCUCCUCCUCUGCCCCUAACCCUGGGGUUCACCCAGGGGACAGCGGCGGGUUGGCAGUUUGGCUGGGGCGGCACACCUCUGAAAAGAUAUCAGGGGUGCCCUAAGCUCCGCUCAGGUCGGUCAGAAACCGACCGUAGAGGGUAAGGCCAAAUGCGGGGCUGACUGCCCCCUUGAACGCUAGGGGGGCAGGGGGGAAACCCGGGCCUAGCGAACGCUCGUGCCCCCACUGGAGGGGGCCGGGCAUGUCGGAAAAGGUACCCCAGGAGUAACCGGCUCGUCGCGGGUGAGAGUUCCCAUCGACCCCGCGGUUUGGUACCCAGACGUCGUCUCUUCCCAUCCUGGCGGUGCAGCAGCCGCCAAGGGUGGGGCUGCCCGCCCAUUAAAGGGGAACGUGAGAUGGGUUCAGACCGUCGUGAGACAGGUCGGUCUCUACCUGUCGGGGGUGCUGGCCGCCUGAGGGGAAGGUGCCCUCAGUACGAGAGGAACGGGGCGCCGCGGCCUCUAGUCUACCGGUUGUCCGGCAGGGCAGUGCCGGGCAGCCACGCCGCUUGGGGUAACCGCUGAAGGCAUCUAAGCGGGAAACCCGCCCCUAAAAUAGGCGGCCGCCGCUCCUGACCGGGGUUACCCGGUUGGGGGUGGUUAGGGCUCCCGUAGAAGACGGGGUUGAUGGGGUGGUGGUGUAUCCCCCGAGGGUUUUCCCGAGGGGGGAGCCUGCCACUCCCAAUCGCCCGAUGGUGCGGGUAG